This is a long non-coding RNA of Mangifera indica (mango), 518 nucleotides long. RefSeq lists it as uncharacterized. NCBI's taxonomy places the organism in Eukaryota, Viridiplantae, Streptophyta, Magnoliopsida, Sapindales, Anacardiaceae. The transcript has 2 exons. The record is from RefSeq and is a predicted model, not a curated record.
AAACCAAGGAACAGUAAGAUACAAGCCACUAAGCAAACCCAAAGUUUAAGUUUAAACCCCAUCUCAUCUCUAUUUCCUCCCAACCUUUCACCUAACAUGAGAGCCCGGCACACUUCUCCAAAUGGGGUGGCUUCACUUCCUCGUCUCCCCUUUAAAGAAACUCUGGGAUCGUCUGCAUUCCUCACACAGAAAACGUAGUGGGAUAUAUAUCCUCUACAAUGAUGUGAAGGCUUGCCCCUGUGAAGAUGUGCAGGUCUUGUGGUCAAUACUGGUGGAGUCGCAUCCGGCUGAUGUUCGACAAUCGCCAUUGAAAUGAUGAGUCCAGGUUGGCCUGCAUGCUGAUAGCAUAAUGUUACCUCUGUGUACAUAUAAUAUAUUAUUAUUCAGCAUAUUAUGCUGUGAUUAGAUAUAUUGAUCCAGCUGCUGCAUCCGAAAUCUUCUCUGCUAUCUUCUGUAACAAGGUCAUUUUUUCCAAUCUCAUGUGUACAUAGGAAAUUAACGAUGCUUUUAUUUGGCUA